RNAcentral lists this ribosomal RNA (253 nucleotides) under uncultured bacterium. RNAcentral describes it as "partial 16S ribosomal RNA". It matches the Rfam family "Bacterial small subunit ribosomal RNA", at positions 524 to 776 of the family's 1533-position model. The record is from RNAcentral.
UACGGAAGGUGCAAGCGUUAGUCGGAAUUACUGGGCGUAAAGGGUGCGUAGGCGGUGAUAUAAGUCGGGUGUGAAAUUCCAGAGCUCAACUCUGGAGCUGCAUUCGAUACUGUUUCACUUGAGGAAUGGCGGAGGAAAUGGAAUUCCAUAUGUAGCGGUGAAAUGCGUAGAUAUAUGGAAGAACACCUGUGGCGAAAGCGGUUUCCUAGCCUCCUCCUGACGCUGAGGCACGAAAGCAAGGGGAGCAAACAGG